UGUGUCAUACCUCAACAACAUGGCCCGGCGCAAAUAUAACCUCGUAUCCGUUACACCCGAACAUUACUUCUGGAAGAAUAAGUAAUAAGCUUUGGCAGUGACUGUUGAAAUAUAGGUUAUUAUAGUUGUGCUUAAAAAUACUGUCUGCAGAAGUUUUGUGAACCGAAAACGCGUCAUUACCUAAAAAAAGAAAAAAAAGUAGCCUACGGUAAAGUUAUAAAAUAUGUGAAAUGUGUCUUUUCUAUGACCAAAAAUGCUAAAAUUCAGGGCCAAAAUUAUUCCGUAUGUGUUAAGCACCAACUGUCUCUUGACCAUUUCGCCAGUAGGCCUAUAACGAGCAUGAUAAAAUUGUAUAUAUACAGUGUAUGUGGUUUUAUACGCCACUGUAUAUAUCUUGCAUUGAGAAAACACCACUGGAAUCGGAAUAAAGGAAAUUCUUAUGUAAUACAGUUCACGUGCAGCAUGCUUUUGAUCAUUGUCUUGCUGCAUGACCCAGCUGCACUUCAGCUUCAGCUCACGGAUGGAUGGCCUAACAGUCUCUGAUACAGAGUCCGAGUUUACCCAGUGGAGGUGGGUUGUCGAGGAUUUGUGGCACACUCUACAACCUGGUUUCUCAGAGACGUCGGAUUCAGUGGUCAAGAGUUGCGUCACACAGUGAAGAACUUAUCCGAGGCAGCAGAGAGGAGCAGCAACUGGCUGUGGUUGAGACGGAAAGAUUCUGGUUGGGGGUCUCAAGCACAAUAGAAAGAAAGAAAUGCUGAUGUACGGGAAAGUAAGCUGGGCUGAGUUUAGUGGGGGACGGAGGGGGGUGAUGCUGGGACACCAGAAUAACCGUCAAGCCCUCUUGAGGUGUCAUGGGCUAGUCGACGAAACACAGAGGAUGGAAGGUGCCCACUUGAAGACCCCCAGAGAUGUACCCUACUUGGCUCAAUCCAGACGGUUGUCAUGCUGAUGCGCUGGGGAGACCGCACUGUGGUUGAUCCCCGGAGCCAGCAUCGCAGCCGUUGUGUGCGCUGAUGCGCUAAGGAGGCAAAUAAGCUGAUCCCUGGAGCCAGCAUUACACUUCAGCUAUCAACACCACGCAGAAGGAUAUCUACAUCAUAAUACGGAAGGAAAUAUUACGCAUAAUACGCAAAUGGGGGUCUAUGUUUUGUGCAGCAUUUCUGCUGGAGAUUACGUGAUAUUAAGUCAGAAGAACGGGAUCUUGAUUGCUGAAACCUAGCGAGCCACAAGCACGAUUCCUGCUCUGGUUUACAUGGGUUUUUACAGCUAUUUUUAUCGUGAGAAAGCGAUUGACCCUGCCCUUAAAGCCGCGCUGACCAAAGGACGUUCUUUUGCUGUUUUGCUUGACAAGACUGUAGAGUCGAUUUUCAUGUGCAUGUAAACCCAGCCAUUGAGACCUGUCACACAGGUGCUUCACGUCCAGCCGGUGCGGCGCAUCCAGAGUCAUAUAUAUAGAAAUAUAUUGAUUACAUUUAUUGAUGUGUCGACAGUACAUUCAUUGUGUUUUGUUAAAUUUGAUGAGCUUGAUGUACAUUUGUGUUGCAUUUUGUAAUCUAAAAAAAAAUAUACAAAACAAAAAAACACAUAGAAAUGGAAAUAGAUUCUCUUACAAUGUUGCCUUUUUUAAAAGGCAUUACAUGUAUCCAGAAUACAUUAUUUUAUGGGUGUUCUGUUUUAUAGGCUUGUUUUUUAUUUUUAGUUUGCUUGUUACUUUUACAAAAGAACCAGAGCACAUGAGCGGAGUGGAGCUCACAGCUCAAAACCAGAGCAUGUGAACGGAGUGGAGCUCACAGCUCAAAACCAGAGCAUGUGAACGGAGUGGAGCUUACAGCUCAAAACCAGAGCAUGUGAACGGAGUGGAGCUUACAGCUCAAAACCAGAGCAUGUGAACGGAGUGGAGCUCACAGCUCAAAACCAGAGCAUGUGAGCAGAGUGGAGCUUACAACUCAAAACCAGAGCAUGUGAACGGAGUGGAGCUUACAGCUCAAAACCAGAGCAUGUGAACGGAGUGGAGCUUACAACUCAAAACCAGAGCAUGUGAACGGAGUGGAGCUCACAGCUCAAAACCAGAGCAUGUGAACGGAGUGGAGCUUACAGCUCAAAACCAGAGCAUGUGAGCGGAGUGGAGCUUACAACUCAAAACCAGAGCAUGUGAACGGAGUGGAGCUUACAGCUCAAAACCAGAACAUGUGAGCGGAGUGGAGCUCACAGCUCAAAACCAGAGCUUGUGAGCGGAGUGGAGCUCACAGCUCAAAACCAGAGCAUGUGAGCAGAGUGGAGCUCAGCUUUGUUAAUGUGUUUUUUUUGUAUGAAAUACAAAUAAUUUUGAAAUUAUUUUUAUUUCUUAAGAAUAUUGUAAAAAUUGCGGUUGGGCUAAUUUCACAUUUUCCACACAGCCCGUGAAGUUGCGAUUUUCACAGGGUCCUAUGAGGCAGCUGCGUUCCCCUUCCCGCGUCACUUCCGCUGCUGUCUCCCAAGUGGAGUUUUCUAAACCAGGUAGUGGCUGAAGGUACAGAAAUCUGCUGAACGGAGCACAAUAAAAAAAUAACCAAUUAAAAUGUUCAACUACCAAUGGUUUUAUGUGUGGUCCAGUGGUUAAAGAAAAGGGCUUGUAACCCGGAGGUCCCCGGUUCAAAUCCCACCUCAGCCACUGACUCAUUGUGUGACCCUGAGCAAGUCACUUAACCUCCUUGUGCUCAGUCUUUCGGGUGAGACGUAAUUGUAAGUGACUCUGCAGCUGAUGCAUAGUUCACACACCCUAGUCUCUGUAAGUCGCCUUGUAUAAAGGCGUCAGCUAAAUAAACAAAUAAUAAUACUCUGAGACCCUCGGUGAACAAAAAAAAAAAAAAAAUGUUUUCACUGGAUAGAGUUACACCUCAGCCUCUACCAUUUUAAGGCCCCCAAAAUAACACAGUUCAUGACAAUAUUAGUAUAUUAGUAUAUGAUGGCCAUGCCCAUGAACUGUUAAAACAUUACAGAGAUAACCCAACAAAAGUGCAUGGACAUUUUUGUCCACAAGGGGUCCCUAGACCACUGUGUAAACAUAAUUCAUAGCUAAAGUACAAUAUGUUUUGCAUUAUGUGGGAGCCAUAAGUAAGCAUUUUAACCAUUAGCAUUUGAAUUGUAAAAAAAUACCCUACUGUGUGUGUUCAAUUUAAUGCCACUGAUAUGCAUAUUUAUUUAAGCAAUACCUACAGGGUGCAUCAAUUGGAUAAAGUCUGAGAUUUAAGUCAAUGAUAUUAUACUAGCAAGGAAGACUAUUGUCUCAUCAUAUGCAAACUGUGGCUAGCUAUUUUUUUUUUUUUUUAAGUUCCUGCAGUUUAAUUUAAUUUAAUUCAUAAUAAAUGGUUUAUGUUUCAGUUCAACCAAACCAGUUAUACUUCUGUCUCUAUCGAGCCUUUAUUACGUGUGUCGCAUUAUCACAGGAUUUUAAAUCUCAAUGAAUUUAGGCAAAUAGAUUCAACUUGUCAUAAUAUUAAUUAUUAUUUAUUUCUUAGCAGGCACCCUUAUCCAGGGCAACUUACAAUUGUUACAAGAUAUCACAUUAUUUUUACAUACAAUUACAUUAUUUUGUACACAUUAUUAAUUACUGUUCCUUAGAAUUUCCACACUCAUAGCUGGGUGGUCCUAAAAUUACAUAGUUAAGUGCAGUUGUCUUGGCAACUACAGUAUUUGAGGUCCAUUAUUCCAGACAAACAAUGUUCUUGCAUUUAACCAUUAUACUCGGCAACUGCCAUCUUGCUCCAACAGCAAAGCCUGAAACUAUCCUUCACAUUUUUAUGGUAGGCUACUUACUAACAACAGCUUUAGCCUGUCUUAAUCCACGUUGAUAUGAUAAAGGACUCUGCACCCCCUGAUUCAUGAUGUUAUUUAUGCUACCACAGUUUUUUAUUCUGUCUUCAUUUCAUUUGCUUAUGAUAACAGCACUGGACAACUAUUUUAAUAUCUGUAAUAUGUGGCUGCCCCAUAUUCACACAGCUGUAUCAUAAGAGACAAGUUUGAGACAUGUUGAUGAUUUGAUGAAAAAUGUUGGUAUUCAUACAUUUUUACUGUUGUUGGUUUCUUAAACAACCUUUUAUAAGGUUUGUUUUUCAAUUACUAUCAAAAGUGGCCAUUUAUUGUAGGCGAUUGAAAUGUGUUGUAUUGCAAAAUAUGAAUGUUAUCCUCCCUCCCCAUAUACAGUGUUAUUUGAUUUAUCUGAAAACAAACCAUAUUUUUAUAUCAGCAUUAAAACAUGAUACGAUGUGUCGUUUUUUUACAUGUGUUUUACGUGAGUAUGUUUCAGGAUUGCUGUACUUUUAAAUACUGGGCAUUGGGCAAAUGUUUUAAUACAUAACUAACCUAUGCCUGUAAGAGUUUGGGAUAUCAUAAUGAUAAUAAUAUCUGCAGAUGUAUGUCUCACUUGGGUAGGUGCACAAAUAAUAUAUUUGCGUGUGGAAUACCUGAAAAAUUCUGGUUCUUAGAUAGGUGCACACAUAUACAGUAUGAGUUUGUGUGCAUGUGUGCAUGUGUUUAUAUAAAAUAUGUAGAGACAUGGAACAGAAUUAGAUUAUGAGUCAUUUUUAUUUUAAGAAGUAUGGAACAGUAAAAAGGGAAUGCAUUCACUUCAGUUAGGUGAAACAUUGACUCAUAACUUGAUGAAAAAAUACUAUUUACCAGCAUUCUGCAGUUGUUGUUUUUAAACAUAAAGACUGAGUUAAAAUAAAAAAAAGUAAAUUCAUCAAUUGAUCAACUGAUGAAGAUGAUGUUUUAGGGGAAAAAAGCUCCAAUUAUUGAUCGAUUGGUUGAUUUAUUUUAUGUUGCAUUAUAUGCUGAAAAGCAUGUUUGCUAUGUUAGCAGAGAGCAAGCAGCAAAGAGCAAAAUAAGGUAAUAAAGUAUGGAUACUGUAAGCACAAGAAAAGAUACAUUUCUUCGCCAUUGUCAUUCCACUUAAACAUUACAGUAUUUGGACUUAGUUCAAUUUUCUCCUUUACAGCAUGCCAUUGUAUUACCUUAUUUAGCUUUUGUAUAUUAGAAUAGUUUCUUUAUCUACAUGUAAUUACAUUUGAAUACACAACUUCAAAUUCAAUGCGUGCCACAGUGAAGUUUUAAUCUAUAUUACAUGGCAAUGGGCACAUACAAAUGUAACUGUAAUGUCUUUCUUCUUUAGAUAUGUAACAAUGAAUUUAACUCAUUGACUGGUGUGUUUUGGAACAUUGGACAUGCUUUAUUUCAGAACUUUUCACAAUUUAUUUAAACAUCUCACAUAUACAAAAUAGGUACAAUAAACUUUUUUUUUUUUUU
This is a long non-coding RNA of Acipenser ruthenus (sterlet), 5286 nucleotides long. RefSeq lists it as uncharacterized. NCBI's taxonomy places the organism in Eukaryota, Metazoa, Chordata, Actinopteri, Acipenseriformes, Acipenseridae. The record is from RefSeq and is a predicted model, not a curated record. The transcript is spliced from 2 exons.